Molecule: long non-coding RNA, 1422 nt
Filed under: Anser cygnoides (Swan goose)
Lineage: Eukaryota; Metazoa; Chordata; Aves; Anseriformes; Anatidae
Description: lncRNA (ENSACDG00005018996.1)
Source: RNAcentral
AUGAAAGGGUUUUGUUAUUUUAAAUCUCCUACUUUCCAAAUUCCCAGGAUUAAAAUUCUCGGCGUUUAUUUUAACCACAUACAUUUGCAGACAAAUCUCUUCUCCCAGCGCAAAAAAGUUGGAAGCAGGCUUAGGAGGCGAAGCCCAGCCGCAAGCUCCGGGGCUGGAAUUGCUGCGAGCGCUCGCGAGCCCGCUUUGCCGGCACACGCUGGCGGCGCAGCCCCGCCACGUUUCCUGCACGGGGGAAAGGGCCCGGCCCGUGAGGUGCUGGGAGCAUCGCGGGGAGGAAGGGUGGCUGCCAACCUGGCUCCUGGGCUGGUUGUCGUGCGGAGGACGAGCCCUUGGGAAAAACCCAGCGGGGUUGGUGCGUGCUGGGGCCGCGCAGAGCCGUGGGGCGCACACGGCGGUGUUACCGGUGACGCUGUCCGCUUCUGUAUCAGGAUGCUGACAAAUGCUACAGCAAAAAUAAAAAAAAAAUCGUGUUGGUUCCCUUCACCCCCUUCCUGCUGCUCUGCACACGUUGGGUAUGAAAGGGAAAGGAGCCGCCAGGCCUCGCCUGGCUCCUGCUUUGCCAAGGCAGCACCGGGGGGACCCGGAGGAGAAGGCUGCAGGGUGGGGGCCCGGCCCCAGCUGCCGGGAGGUGUGCGAAACGUGGGUGCCUGCAGGCAGCAGAAUGCCCCCCGCUCUUUAUCUAAAGCAGCAUCGGCGUCUGGCAAAUGUCACUCCCGGCUGGGAAGCCGCUUCCCUCCUGCUCUCCCCUCGCCCCUUCCCUGCUGCCGGCGGCGCCCGUGCAGCCCCCCAGACCUGCCCCAGGACCCCCUCAGCCCCCUGGUCCCAAGGCGAUGCGGGGCCAGGGGCAGCCCGUGGGGCGGGGUGGGGGCUUUCUGGGCCCCACACCCAAGGUGUCGCCCCCCUCCCUCCCCACGCCAGCCCCGGGGGUACCCCGGCCCUGCCUCGCAUCCCACCUGGAGCAUCCCUCGCCCAAAAGCCGCUCCGGAUGCUGCGCCUCCCGUCGCCAUGGCAACCCCCAUCCUCGCCGGGUUGCCAUGGCUCCCCGGCCCCCAGCCGCAGCCGCAGCGCGAGAGGACCCGGCGUUUCGGGUCCCCAGGGGCUGCCACGGCAGAGGGAUGCUCUGCGGGGCCUGGGACCACCGGGAUAAGCCAAGGCCAGGCCGAGGGCUGUGGGCGUGCUGGCACCUCCCUGCUCCUUGGUGCUAUGGGGGGGACGGGCUCCGUGACCACCCAGCAGCUCGGGGGGCUGAUGGGGAUGGCGUCCCCUGGCAGCAUCACCCAUGGCAGGGUGCUGGCAUCACUUUGUGGGCCACUUCCCAAACUUGUCUCCUUUCUGCCCAGGGUUCCUCCGCUCCGUGCAGCCUCCCUGGCCCCGCAGGUCGCGGCGGUGGGCAGGCACACCUUGCGUUGA